This 465-nucleotide ribosomal RNA is filed under the name uncultured bacterium. RNAcentral's name for it is "partial 16S ribosomal RNA". It matches the Rfam family "Bacterial small subunit ribosomal RNA", at positions 338 to 795 of the family's 1533-position model. The record is from RNAcentral.
CCUACGGGCGGCAGCAGUGGGGCAUAUUGCGCAAUGGGCGAAAGCCUGACGCAGCGACGCCGCGUGAGGGAUGAAGGUCUUCGGAUCGUAAACCUCUGUCAGCAGGGAAGAACGGUCACUGUGCUAAUCAGCAGUGAAUUGACGGUACCUGCAAAGGAAGCACCGGCUAACUCCGUGCCAGCAGCCGCGGUAAUACGGAGGGUGCGAGCGUUAAUCGGAAUUACUGGGCGUAAAGCGCUCGUAGGCGGUAUGUCAAGUCAAGGGGGAAAUCCCCGCGCUCAACGUGGGAACGGCCGUUGAAACUGGCAAACUGGAGUGUGUGAGAGGAUAGUGGAAUUCCAGGUGUAGGAGUGAAAUCCGUAGAUAUCUGGAGGAACAUCAGUGGCGAAGGCGACUAUCUGGCACAUAACUGACGCUGAGGAGCGAAAGCGUGGGUAGCAAACAGGAUUAGAUACCCCAGUAGUC